Molecule: ribosomal RNA, 292 nt
Filed under: uncultured bacterium
Lineage: Bacteria
Description: partial 16S ribosomal RNA
Rfam family: Bacterial small subunit ribosomal RNA
Source: RNAcentral
GUGUCAGCCGCCGCGGUAACACGGGGGGAGCAAGCGUUGUUCGGAUUCAUUGGGCGUAAAGAGCUCGUAGGCGGCUCUGUAAGUCGGAGGUGAAAUAUCACGGCUCAACCGUGAAAACGCCUUCGAAACUGCGGAGCUUGAGGCCGGGAGAGGAAAUCGGAAUUCCUGGUGUAGCGGUGAAAUGCGUAGAUAUCAGGAGGAACACCGGUGGCGAAGGCGGAUUUCUGGACCGGUUCUGACGCUCAGGAGCGAAAGCCAGGGGAGCAAACAGGAUUAGAAACCCCCGUAGUCC